Molecule: long non-coding RNA, 1044 nt
Organism: Leopardus geoffroyi (Geoffroy's cat)
Lineage: Eukaryota; Metazoa; Chordata; Mammalia; Carnivora; Felidae
Exons: 3
Source: RefSeq, a predicted model, not a curated record
AAGUCCGACGCUUAACUGACUGAGACACGCAGGAUGACAGGAAUAUGAGGGACAAAACAAAACAAAAACGAUCUACAACAGAAGCAGAGGUUGGAGUGAUGCACUUCGAAGCUGGAGAAAGGGACCACGAGCCAAAGAACGCUGGCAGCCGCUAGAAGCUGGAAGAAGGAAGGAAAUGGAUUCUUCUCUGGAACCUUCAGAAGAAAUGCAGCCCUACCGACAUCUUGAUGUCAACCCUGCAACAUUCCUUCAGACUUCUGAUCCUCAUAACUUUCAUUUAAUUCAGUGAAAGCUUAACAAAGCCCCUCUCUUCCUCGCCGCUCACUGGGGGGUGAGCAGCCAUCUCCUACUUGGCAUCACGGCUGCCCUCGGACCUUUGGUGAAGCCCGAGAUCAUUAAAAAGAGGACCAAAAAGUUCAUCCGGCACCAGUCAGACCGAUCUGUCAAAAUCAAGUGCGACUGGUGGAAACCCAGAGGCAUUGACAAUAGGGUACCCAGAAGUCGAUGCCCAACACUGGUUAUGGGAGCGUCAAGAAAGCCAAGCAUGUGCUGCCCAGUGGCUUCUGGAAGUUCCUAGUCCACAACGCCAGGGAGCUUGAAGUGCUGCUGAUGUGCAGCAAAUCUCACUGUGCAGGGAUUGUCUACAAUGUGUCCCCCCAGAGACCCGCGAAGCCAUGGUGGAAAGAACAGCCCAACUGUCCCUCAGAGUCACCAGUCCUGAUGCCAGGCUGCACGACGAAGAAAAGUGAAUAGACAGCUCAUAUGCAUACUGUGCUUAUGUUAAUAAAACCAUAAAAGUACCAAGGCGGGGGGGGGGGGGGGGGAGGGCGGCGAAGGGACUUACUGAGGACUUGCUGAGUACAAGGCAUUAUGCUAGGUUCUGGGGUUUACAGUUGUGGUCCUUACCCUCAAGGCACUCAGAAUCCAGUAAGACAGAUAAGACAAUAGAAAAUUUCUGGGGCGCCAGGGUGGCUCAGUCGGUUAAGCAUCCGACUUCGGCUCAGGUCACGAUCUCGCAGUUCGUGACUUCGAGCCCCCGCGUCG